CAACUCACUCAGCAGUCAAACAGGUUUUGUUAAGGAUCUGCUAGAGUUGAUGGAAAGCAUAAAAUUGUACAUUCAAAUGCAAUUUCCACAUACAAGUAAAUCUGACAAGCCCAGGCACGUGGACUUCUUAUUCCUGCUUUUGCGCCGGGCGUGUCCUUUCAUCGGAAGUUUCGGGAGGAUUGCUGGUAGAUCUCUUAUCUGUUGUUGGACAGGUAUGUUAAACUUUCAAUUUAUCCAUUACAUUUUAGUUAACCCGCUCUAAACGUAGCCACGUGCCCCACGUUCUGUGACUGUGAACUACGUUAUGGGGGGGGGGCUACAUGAUUAAAGCCAUCACCUGACAAGCUCCCCUCCCCCACAACUCCAUCUCUAACAACAGGCCAUUUCCUCCUGUCGUUGGAAGAUUUGAAAAGGAGAAGCUGGAUGGAAGCCAGGGGUUUGAAUAGGUUAGCUAAUAAAAGAAAAACAGGCAAAGGGAGGGUGUGUUGCUUAAAAACAUUUAAAUAGGUACUAUUUUUUUAAAGCGGAAAAGUGAGUACAUAACAACAGCUGAGGGACUAUAUAUAACGAGUUUGGUAAUUAUUAGCAAAUUGCACCAACCAGACAAGCAAUUUGUCAAGUCAGUGGAAGCAUAUAUCCCAGUAUGACACAUCAUUUGCCUACGAUGCUCUUACAAGAUUUAAAAAACAAAAACCACACAUACUCAAAAAUGAAAGCAAAACUAUGCAAGGGAACUUCAUCUGAUUCAAACUGAUUUUAUUUCUGUGGAACAUUUCACAAAAGCUCAGUGUCGAGCAUGUUAAAAACACAAUAUUGAACGGAUGAAAGAAAUAAUAGGUUCAUGUCUUUUAAUCUGUAUUUGCUCUACACGCUGAAUUCUAUGAAUUACAGUGUCGAUGGCCUUCAGACCUUUGGCUAUACUUUAAAAAAAAUUAAUCUCCAAUACCAAAAAGCAAGCAAACAAACAAACAAAAUGCUGAUUGGCUGAAUGACCAUAAAACUGACUAAAAUCGAUCUUGGCACUGCAGUCAAGCUUUUACCAACGUAGUGCUUACCACUCUUCUUCAGCUGCUUGUUUUUACAGCUCACUCCAAACAGUUUAACACGGUUAACUGAAGUUAAAGCAGUAGGUGUAGAUUUCAGACACCGGACACCGUGUUAUACACCCCCAUUCGACUGCUCCCUUCAGCUGAACGUCUUUUUUAUUCAUUUGUGUUCAUGAGAACAUGAAAUUAGCAAAAGGCUUAAUUAGAAAAAAAACUACUAUAACAUGUAUUCAGCUGUUGCAAUGCUUCUAUCUCUAGGGUAUGUGACUGGGCUGAAACACAAUCCUAGCCUAUGGGGAGCAUUGUGUCAGGAGUUGCAUCUGGUUUAAAAAUUCAAAUAUACAGAACCAUCUACUGCAACAGACAGCAGUCCACUUUUUUGAGAAACAAAGGAGCAACCCAAAAAAUGUUUUUAAUGCAUUUGUCGCCAUCAUAACAUGAAAUCAAAGAAGCCCUAUAUAGAAAAAAAUGCUAUAACAUUGCAGUCAGCAGUUGAACAGACUCUCAUCUGCUGUGCACUCAAAUGAAAAAAGAGGACAAUAUUUUCAAAAAGAGAAUAUUGUGCACUUCCACCCCUCAACUCCUCAAUAGCACAGCUGAAAUGUGCUUCAGUCCUAAAAAUCAUCAGAAACACAGCUGAAUAAAAACCCUGAACAUGUAAAAUCUUGUGGUUUAUACAUUAAUUCAUUAACAGGUGACUCAAUGUGCAUUUAAGCAGAUUACUUCCUCAAGCCAAGGACACAGAAGUACCAUGAUAUCACACAAUAGUCAUUAUCUCUCACUCUGAAACAGGAAAGAGGACCAUAGACUAUUGAUAGACGUAGCAGGAUCAACAGGGCUAUAUACUCUCUACUCACAAUGAGUCAAAUGUUGCAAAACUGAUCGGACAGCGCAAACAGAUAUUGACCGAAACUGCACCACCAAAGCAGCCCAAGAGAUGGUAAAGUGUGGGAUGUGAUAUUCUUCAAUGGUCAAGUCAGUCACCUGAUCUCAAUCCAACAGAUGAUUUUGAGUUAUUAAAUAAUAAAGUGAGAUCUGCAGCACCCACAAUGAAGCAGUAAUUCAAGGCAGCUGCAGUAAAGUGAAGAAGUCUCAAGUGAAUAUUUGGUUAUGAUUUAAAAGAAACUCACAUCUGUAAAAUUAUGUUAGGUUGUGGGGACUAUGUAUAAAAAUAGCUGUACUUCCUAAACAGUUGAUCCAAUUUUUUUUUAUCAAUCACACCUUUAUUGUUUAGUUUAUAAUCCACAUUACUGACUUCAGAAUACACACAAACUAACCAAACAAGUUUUUGUAGUUUAGUUCGUUUUAUAGAGCAACGUAAGGAAAUAACUCACUGGAACUCUUUAAAAUGAAACAAAUACCUUUGAAAUUUUAACAUAGUUUCAAAAAUACUCUAAUCACAGAUUUUAUAGUUUGCAUGAAACCUCAGCAUAUCACGUAGGACUUUUCCUCAUACAGUAAUGACUCACCUGAGGUCUUUUUUCCCAGAAUUGUUCUUUAUGAUUCUUGGAAGCAGGAUAAAGGACAUAAGGUUACACAGGGGUGAAACAAACAGACAUGUGAAGUGAAAUGCUGCCAUCUAAUGGUUAAAGCAAAUAGAACACAAAGCAGUUCUAUACACAGCCAUUUUAGCUCACUCUUUUACUAAAGCACCCAUGAGUAUAUGAUGCUGUUCAUAUAUUUAGAGGAGCUUGAAUAUUUAAGCACACGGUGUAUGUUAGGACUUAUUAUAUUCAUCAUUUAAAGUCAUGGGGUCACAUAUAUACAGGUAAAACAAAUGAAUGCUGUUUGGCCAAUUUUAAUCUUGAUGAUCGCAAACUGCGUUUUGUAAGCCUACUUCUUAUUUGCUAUUUUCUAGCAAACAUUAUGGAAAAAAAAAUGAAAGAGCCAGCAGUCAUUCCUGUUCCAUAAAGCGAUGGAGAAAUCAGCUAUGAUCUUAAACAAAUGGAAUGGCCUCUGCUUUUGCCUUCAGAAGUGCCUAAAUUUGUCAUAGCAUAGAUUCAACAAGGUGCUGGAAACAUUCCUGAGAGAUAUACAGCUUCGACAGUGAGUAUCCUAUUCCACCUCAAAAGUGCGCAAUUGGUGGCUGUGGAGGCCAUUUGAGUACAGUGAAAUCACUGUCCUGCUCAAGAAGCAGUUUGAGAUGAUUUGAGCUUUGUGACAUACUCGAAGCAGCCAUCAGAAGAUUGGUGCGUUGUGGUCAUAAUAGUACACAGGUAGGCUGUGGAGUUUAAAUGAUGCUCAAGCCGUAGUAAGGGGCCCAAAGAGAGGAAAGAAAAUAUCACCCACUCCAUUACCCCACUGCCCCCACAAUGGAUCCAUGCUUUUAUGUUGUUUAUGUCAAAUUCUGACCAUACAAUUACAGUGUCACAACAGAAAUACAGACUCAACGCAACGUUUUUAAAAAAUCUUCUAUUGUCCAGUUUUGCAUUGCAGACUCAGUUUCCUGCUCUAAGCUGACCGGAGUAGUCUUCUGCUGCUAUAACCAAUCUGCUUCUUCACAGAUGGUCUUCU
This is a long non-coding RNA of Oreochromis niloticus (Nile tilapia), 3560 nucleotides long. The record is from Ensembl. NCBI's taxonomy places the organism in Eukaryota, Metazoa, Chordata, Actinopteri, Cichliformes, Cichlidae.